GCAGUCGCCGCGGGAAAACGAAGGGGGCUAGCGUUGUUCGGAAUUACUGGGCGUAAAGCGCACGUAGGCGGACAUUUAAGUCAGGGGUGAAAUCCCGGGGCUCAACCCCGGAACUGCCUUUGAUACUGGGUGUCUAGAGUAUGGAAGAGGUGAGUUGAAUUCCGAGUGUAGAGGUGAAAUUCGUAGAUAUUCGGAGGAACACCAGUGGCGAAGGCGGCUCACUGGUCCAUUACUGACGCUGAGGUGCGAAAGCGUGGGGAGCAAACAGGAUUAGAUACCCCAGUAGUCCCUGUCUCUUAUAC
This 302-nucleotide ribosomal RNA is filed under the name uncultured bacterium. RNAcentral's name for it is "partial 16S ribosomal RNA". It matches the Rfam family "Bacterial small subunit ribosomal RNA", at positions 508 to 807 of the family's 1533-position model. The record is from RNAcentral.